This 1133-nucleotide ribosomal RNA is filed under the name Plasmodium falciparum (malaria parasite P. falciparum). RNAcentral's name for it is "partial 18S ribosomal RNA". It matches the Rfam family "Eukaryotic small subunit ribosomal RNA", at positions 604 to 1460 of the family's 1831-position model. The record is from RNAcentral. Lineage: Eukaryota; Apicomplexa; Aconoidasida; Haemosporida; Plasmodiidae.
UUAAAAUUGUUGCAGUUAAAACGGGAGUUUAAGGCAACAACAGGCCCCCACGUUGAAUUUACCACGGGAGUGAAGAGCUAAAGGCAGCAAAUUGAUUGCUUUGUUCAAAAUAAUGUUUUCUGAGGGUUAUGUUUUUAUCUUAUAUGACUUAAUCUUUUUUUAAAUCUCUUCAAUAUGCUUUUAUUGCUUUUGAGAGGUUUUGUUACUUUGAAUAACAUUAAAUGUUCAUAACAUACAGGUGGUCAUGAUUGAGUUCAUUGUGUUUGAUUACUACAGCAUGGAAUAACAAAUAUGAAUAAGCUAAUUAUUUUUUUUUUUCAUAAUUUUUUUUGAUAUUCUUAUUAGCUUAGUUACGAUUAAUAGGAGUAGCUUUGGGGGCAUUCGUAUUCAGAUGUCAGAGGUGAAAUUCUAAGAUUUUCUGGAGACGGACUACUGCGCAAGCAAUUGCCUAAUCUAUUUCCGUCAAUCAAGAACGAAAGGUAAGGGAGUGAAGACGAUCAGAUACGGUCGUAAUCUUACCCGUAAACUAUACCGACUAGGUGUUGGAUGAAUAUAAAAAAUAUAUAAAUAUGUAGCAUUUCUUAGGGAAUGUUGAUUUUAUAUGAGAAUUGCUUCCUUCAGUACCUUAUGAGAAAUCAAAGUCUUUGGGUUCUGGGGCGAGUAUUCGCGCAAGCGAGAAAGUUAAAAGAAUUGACGGAAGGGCACCACCAUGGCGUGGAGCUUGCGGCUUAAUUUGACUCGCCACGGGAAAACUCACUAGUUUAAGACCAGAGUAGGAUUGACAGAUUAAUAGCUCUUUCUUGAUUUCUUGGAUGGUAGAUGCAUGGCCGUUUUACCUUCGUGAAUAUGAUUUGUCGGGUUAACUUCGAUAACGAACGAGAUCUUAACCUGAUAAUUAGCGGUAAGUACACAAUAUUUUUAUUUGAAAUUGCGGAUAGGUAAUUAUACAUCUUUAUUCAGUGUUCAAAUUAGGAUAUUUUUUUAUUAAACAUUCUUUUCCCUGUUAUACUAUAAUAAUUUAGUUUUUUUCACCAUCUUUCUCUCUUCUUUUAAGAAAGCACGGAGUUUAUUAAUUAAAGCCUGCCCCAGGAACAAUUGGUCCAUGCCACAGGGGAGUUUAAGGCAACAACAGG